This 1656-nucleotide long non-coding RNA is filed under the name Gossypium raimondii (Peruvian cotton). Its description in RNAcentral is "long non-coding RNA (GRAI_LNC007684)". Lineage: Eukaryota; Viridiplantae; Streptophyta; Magnoliopsida; Malvales; Malvaceae. The record is from RNAcentral.
GCGGGUUAUUCUCGAACUGGAAUAUCUCAAAACCGGAAUAUGACAAAGAAAGAGACGAAAAGGAUGCUUAAAAUAUAUGGUAUUCCGAUCUAUUCCAAUGCGGCCUAUCUCCGAACAGGCCAUUGAAGAAUAGGAAUUUCUUGAACCGGCUAAUCACAUGGCGGACAACCAUUUAGAAGAUUUUCCUGAAAUGAAAAAAAACAUAUUUAUGUACGCACUAAAAAUCAAAGAUGCAGAGAGCUUUGUAUCCUAAAAAAAAUUAAGAUUUGAGUUUGUUUUUGUUAGUUCUUAGAAACAUAUCUUAGCAAUAAAAUCUUAUAAAUACCAGUCAAGUUUUUGAAAAAAAAUGAUAGUAACGAAAAAAAUAAUAUGAAAAAUUGGGGAAAAAUAAAAUAAAAAAAUUACAAACAUAGUAACUAUAAACUAACAAAAAGGACAACACCACCAACACCUACAUCUAAUGAUUUAAAAAGACAAGUUGUGUACAGAUUAUAAACAAAAUUGAACCGGACAAUAAUCAAACAAAACCGUGCACUAAAAAACCCGAACAAGAAACUAAAUCACCAGAAAUGAACCAGGAAAAAAAAUCGAACCAGACAAAAGGGACCCAAAACCACAACCAAAAUAGUCGCAAAUCGGUAAAAAAAUCGACUCAAAAUAAUGAGGACAAACUAAACUAAAACUAAAAUAAUACCAAACCAUGCUCGACGUACCCAAAUCGAAUCGAAACGAACCAUACCAACUUGACAUGAAACCAAUCAACCCACUAAAAUUGAGUUGAUACAGACCGAGACAAAGACCGACCAAGUUCAUUAACUAUUAAAAUAGGACCAUUAUCCCGAGCACCAAGACCCAAAACCUAAAACUAAAAACAAACCCACUAUCACACACCAAAAAGAACAGGGAACCUAUCCCACAUGACAAACAACAAGACUAAUACCGAUGACCCAAAAAAGAAGCACACUAUACCUCGAACCCAACCCGACACAAAACACCGAAAACUACAAAACUUAGGCGGAACACAAGCCCAAACGAUAAAAUCGAAACCCACUAACCCAAGCCACAAUAGUUUUUGCUAAGCAAAAAAUAAAAAGAAAUAGAUUGCAAGACAAUAGCUAAAAUAGUAAACAGAGGGAAACACGAAAUUCAAAAAUAAAGAACAUAAACAAGAAGAUAAACAAACAAAAAGAACAACCAAACCAAGAUCAAUAGACUUGAAACAUGAAACGAAACAGUGAAUUGUAAAGUAGAAAACAAAAAUCCUAAAAAACACCCACUGAAAUACGAGUAAAAAGCAUAGAUUUGAAACUACAACAGAAAUGAUAAGGCAAAAUAAAAAUUUGAACUGAAGAUUCAUACCUGGAUAUCAGUCUACAAUGAAGCAGGGGAUUUUAAUAUCAAUAAAAAUAGAAACGACAGAGAAAAACUUUGGGUCUUUCCCUCUCACAAAAACUUUCUUCCUACUGUCACUUGCGUGGGUGUUUUUUUGGCCUGUGAUUACCCAAAUCUAAAAAAGAAUGAUAGGAAAAAAUAGAAAGGAGGCCGAGAGAGAUAGUGGGAGAAUUAGCUGGGGGAGCUAUGGAAUGAAGAGAAUAAAGGGGAAAGAAACAUUAGAAAGGAAGGCAAAACAAGAGAGAAUAAAAGGGGAAUGAAACG